GGAGGGGUGGGUGAGUGGUUAAAGCCACCAGACUGUAAAUCUGGCGCCCUGACGGGCUUCGCAGGUUCGAAUCCUGCCCCCUCCACCA
RNAcentral lists this transfer RNA (88 nucleotides) under Chloroflexota bacterium. RNAcentral describes it as "Chloroflexi bacterium tRNA-Tyr". It matches the Rfam family "tRNA". From Rfam's summary of the family: Transfer RNA (tRNA) molecules are approximately 80 nucleotides in length. The record is from RNAcentral. Lineage: Bacteria; Bacillati; Chloroflexota. RNAcentral also lists the same sequence under 1 other name.